RNA transcript from Vitis vinifera (wine grape), 2533 nucleotides. It is a transcript of the gene named IQ domain-containing protein IQM3, with no coding region annotated. Lineage: Eukaryota; Viridiplantae; Streptophyta; Magnoliopsida; Vitales; Vitaceae. The transcript is spliced from 11 exons. The record is from RefSeq and is a predicted model, not a curated record.
GCUCAGAAGGGACGAGCGAGGCAUAAAGCUCUGUUGCUGCGCUUCCUCUCUCUUUGUUGCCCUUUUCGGUCUGUGUGAAACUUCAACUUCCAUGGAGUUUGAGACCCAAACUCUCUCAAACUUCGAUCUCCAAUCAAAGCCACCAUUUUCUUACUCGUUGAACAUGGGUGACGACUCCUUGGAGCCUUAUGCUGCUCAUGAAUGCGACACGUUUGAAGUCUCUGAUUCUCCCUCCUCGGACGCUCCCAACACCGCCUAUUCCAAGUCUCUUGAUAUCAAUUCCAAAGAUGACCAGUUGCAUGCAACCGACGAUCAAGACUGCCCUAGCUUCGAACAGGUUCUAGUUUCGAAUCUAGACGCCGAUUUGCCGGCGGCCGAAGAGUCGUCGGGUGUGAAAGCUCCAGGAAGCUUGAUAUCGGUGGAGAAAGCUGCAGUGAUGUUGCAGAAAGUGUAUAGGAGUUACCGCACGCGGCGAAGGUUGGCGGACUCUGCAAUCGUCGCCGAAGAGCUCUGGUGGCAAGCUAUCGAUCAUGCUCGACUGAACCACAGCACGAUUUCUUUCUUCCAUUUCUCAAAAACGGAGACGAUGGAGUCGCGCUGGGGUCGUAUCAGCCUGAAUGCUUCGAAAGUUGGCAAGGGUUUAUGCGAAGAGGCCAAAGCUCAGAAGUUGGCUUUUCAGCACUGGAUCGAAGCUAUCGAUCCACGACACCGAUAUGGGCACAACUUGCAUAUGUAUCAUGAACAAUGGUACAAAGCAGAUGCCGGUCAGCCUUUCUUCUAUUGGUUGGAUAUUGGAGAUGGCAAAGAGGUUGAUCUCAAAGAAUGCCCAAGAUCUAAGCUUCAAAGAGAAUGCAUUAAGUAUCUUGGACCUAAAGGAAGAGAACAUUAUGAAUACAUACUUGAGGAGGGGAAAAUUGUCCACAAACAAACUGGAGAUCUCCUAGAUACAAGCAAUGGAUUGCAAGGGGCCAAGUGGAUAUUUGUGAUGAGCACUUCUAAGAAACUGUAUGCUGGUGAGAAAAAGAAAGGAGCCUUUCAUCAUUCGAGCUUCCUUGCCGGGGGAGCUACUUUAUCUGCUGGAAAGCUUAUGGCAGGGCAUGGUAUACUUAAGUUCAUCUCAGCCUAUAGUGGACAUUACCGCCCAACUGAUGGCUGCCUUGAAAAUUUUUUAUCCUUCCUACGGGAAAAUGGAGUAAAUCUCGAUGAAGUUCAGGUUCGGACUGCAAAUGAAGAUUAUGAGCAUUAUGAUACCAGCAAAUCAAAUGGAAGUAACGGGUCAGAAUCAACUGAAGAGACUAAAACUGAAACCAAAGGAAAUUACCAAAGAACUUUAUCUGGUGGUCUUCGGAAUGGAACUGCUGAGGUUGCUAAGAAAGCUAUACUGCAAAGAAUCGACUCAAAGAAGGCAGUGAGUUCAUACCAGCUAGGGCGUCAACUGUCUCUAAAUUGGACAACAGGGGCUGGGCCGAGAAUUGGGUGUAUCGCAGACUACCCUGUAGAAUUGAGGGAACAGGCUUUGGAGUUUGUGAACUUCCCUCCAAGUGAGCCCCCAACACCAACAGUCUCAUAGUGUAGUCAACUUCUUCCAAGAAAGCCCCCUACGCCAUCACCCUCCAGGUGAAUUGGUAGUACUGCAUCAGCUGCAGCUCACUGCAGGCUUGCAGGCACCUGAGAGGCAAUUGACCAUAUGUAAGGAAAAAAUAGAAGAAAUGAUAAGAAAACGAACUAAUGGCCCAUGGUAAAAAAUAGUGGCUAGUGAUAUCAGCACAGAGAAAAAUUUGGCUCAUAAAAGACUGAUUGGGAACCUGGAAAGCAGCAAAGCAUGUACAAGGAACUCCUCAAGAGACGUUAUUAGCCUCUUUUGCUUCAGGGGUGGGACUUCAGAAGCCUGACGAAGGUCAACACAGGCAAAUUUCAUAUGCUGAGCACCAAUGCUGGAAUAGGAAGCUAAAAAAAAGGGGAAUUAGAUUCGAAGGGCAAUAUCAGAAUGAUGGGAACAUUUUCACAUUAAAGAUUGCUAGAGCAAAGAUCACCGUAGCCAGAUGGUCUUGAUUGUCCAAACGACCCUUUCCUACUGAAAGGCAUAAACUUGACAUCAACCACAAAAGGGAAAAAUGUAAUCAGUAGGGGUGGACCAAACUACUUCAAAAGUUAGCUUAUGAAAACAGAACCCAAAAGGCAGCUCAGAGAUAGAUGCUCUCACUUUCAUAUAAGAGAUCUCCGGUUCGACUCCAAGCUAACUCGAUAAAAUGUUCCUAGAGGAAGGGGUUGUGUAAUGGUGGAUUUCCUCAGGGCCAAACAGGAAAGGAGGUGGUGUGGUUGGGGCCUGGGGGUUGGGGAAUGGGGUGUUUGGUAAUGGACUCUAAAAAUACAUUUCUGAAAGCAGGAAAGGAGAAGAAAGAAUUUCAUUUCUCGUAUAAACCACCAUCAUUCACUGGAAAAAUUCCCUGCUGUAUUACCUUGAGCUACUCCUUUUUAGCUGGUGAACAUAAGCUUCCAACUUGAAGUAAUCCACAUUUGGUUGUUUCCUGCA